Molecule: ribosomal RNA, 1145 nt
Filed under: Escherichia coli
Lineage: Bacteria; Pseudomonadati; Pseudomonadota; Gammaproteobacteria; Enterobacterales; Enterobacteriaceae
Description: partial 23S ribosomal RNA
Rfam family: Bacterial large subunit ribosomal RNA
Source: RNAcentral
GGGACACGUGGUAUCCUGUCUGAAUAUGGGGGGACCAUCCUCCAAGGCUAAAUACUCCUGACUGACCGAUAGUGAACCAGUACCGUGAGGGAAAGGCGAAAAGAACCCCGGCGAGGGGAGUGAAAAAGAACCUGAAACCGUGUACGUACAAGCAGUGGGAGCCUCUUAAUGGGGUGACUGCGUACCUUUUGUAUAAUGGGUCAGCGACUUAUAUUCUGUAGCAAGGUUAACCGAAUAGGGGAGCCGAAGGGAAACCGAGUCUUAACUGGGCGUUAAGUUGCAGGGUAUAGACCCGAAACCCGGUGAUCUAGCCAUGGGCAGGUUGAAGGUUGGGUAACACUAACUGGAGGACCGAACCGACUAAUGUUGAAAAAUUAGCGGAUGACUUGUGGCUGGGGGUGAAAGGCCAAUCAAACCGGGAGAUAGCUGGUUCUCCCCGAAAGCUAUUUAGGUAGCGCCUCGUGAAUUCAUCUCCGGGGGUAGAGCACUGUUUCGGCAAGGGGGUCAUCCCGACUUACCAACCCGAUGCAAACUGCGAAUACCGGAGAAUGUUAUCACGGGAGACACACGGCGGGUGCUAACGUCCGUCGUGAAGAGGGAAACAACCCAGACCGCCAGCUAAGGUCCCAAAGUCAUGGUUAAGUGGGAAACGAUGUGGGAAGGCCCAGACAGCCAGGAUGUUGGCUUAGAAGCAGCCAUCAUUUAAAGAAAGCGUAAUAGCUCACUGGUCGAGUCGGCCUGCGCGGAAGAUGUAACGGGGCUAAACCAUGCACCGAAGCUGCGGCAGCGACACUAUGUGUUGUUGGGUAGGGGAGCGUUCUGUAAGCCUGUGAAGGUGUGCUGUGAGGCAUGCUGGAGGUAUCAGAAGUGCGAAUGCUGACAUAAGUAACGAUAAAGCGGGUGAAAAGCCCGCUCGCCGGAAGACCAAGGGUUCCUGUCCAACGUUAAUCGGGGCAGGGUGAGUCGACCCCUAAGGCGAGGCCGAAAGGCGUAGUCGAUGGGAAACAGGUUAAUAUUCCUGUACUUGGUGUUACUGCGAAGGGGGGACGGAGAAGGCUAUGUUGGCCGGGCGACGGUUGUCCCGGUUUAAGCGUGUAGGCUGGUUUUCCAGGCAAAUCCGGAAAACCAAGGCUGAGGCGUGAUGA